Molecule: ribosomal RNA, 1338 nt
Filed under: Rhodococcoides fascians
Lineage: Bacteria; Bacillati; Actinomycetota; Actinomycetes; Mycobacteriales; Nocardiaceae
Description: Rhodococcus fascians partial ribosomal RNA
Rfam family: Bacterial small subunit ribosomal RNA
Source: RNAcentral
AUCUGCCCUGCACUCUGGGAUNAGCUUGGGAAACUNGGUCUAAUACCGGAUAUGACCACAGCAUGCAUNUNUNGUNGUNGAAAGAUUUAUCGGUNCAGGAUNGCCCNCGGCCUAUCAGCUNGUUGGUGGGGUNAUNGCCUACCAAGGCGACGACGGGUNGCCGACCUGAGAGGGUGACCGGCCACACUGGGACUGAGACACGGCCNNGACUCCUACGGGAGGCAGCAGUGGGGAAUAUUGCACAAUGGGCGGAAGCCUNAUGCAGCGACGCCGCGUGAGGGAUGAAGGCCUUCGGGUNGUAAACCUCUUUCAGCAGGGACGAAGCGUGAGUGACGGUACCUGCAGAAGAAGCACCGGCUAACUACGUGCCAGCAGCCGCGGUAAUACGUAGGGUGCCAGCGUUGUCCGGAAUUACUGGGCGUAAAGAGUUCGUAGGCGGUUUGUCGNNUNGUAUGUGAAAACCCGGGGCUCAACUUCGGGCUNGCAGGCGAUACGGGCAGACUAGAGUGUUUCAGGGGAGACUGGAAUUCCUGGUNUAGCGGUNAAAUNCGCAGAUAUCAGGAGGAACACCGGUGGCGAAGGCGGGUCUCUGGGAAAUGACUGACGCUGAGGAACGAAAGCGUNGGUAGCAAACAGGAUUAGAUACCCUGGUNGUCCACGCCGUAAACGGUNGGCGCUAGGUGUNGGUUCCUUCCACGGGAUCUNUGCCGUAGCUAACGCAUUAAGCGCCNNGCCUNGGGNGUACGGCCGCAAGGCUAAAACUCAAAGGAAUUGACGGGGCCCNGCACAAGCGGCGGAGCAUGUGGAUUAAUUCGAUGNAACGCGAAGAACCUUACCUGGGUUUGACAUACACCGGAAAACCGUAGAGAUACGGUCCCCCUNGUGGUCGGUGUACAGGUGGUGCAUGGCUGUCGUCAGCUCGUGUCGUGAGAUGUUGGGUUAAGUCCCGCAACGAGCGCAACCCUNGUCUUAUGUUGCCAGCACGUAAUGGUGGGGACUCGUAAGAGACUGCCGGGGUAAACUAGGAGGAAGGUGGGGAUGACGUCAAGUCAUCAUGCCCCUUAUGUCCAGGGCUUCACACAUGCUACAAUGGUCAGUACANAGGGCUGCGAGACCGUGAGGUGGAGCGAAUCCCUUAAAGCCGGUCUCAGUUCGGAUCGGGGUCUGCAACUCGACCCCGUGAAGUCGGAGUCGCUAGUAAUCGCAGAUCAGCAACGCUGCGGUNAAUACGUUCCCGGGCCUUGUACACACCGCNGUNNAGUNCAUGAAGUUCGGUAACACCCGAAGCGGUGGCCUAACCCCUUACGGGGAGGGAGCCGUCGAAGGUGGGAUCGGCGA